Oncorhynchus keta (chum salmon) is the source of this 8547-nucleotide long non-coding RNA. RefSeq lists it as uncharacterized. Lineage: Eukaryota; Metazoa; Chordata; Actinopteri; Salmoniformes; Salmonidae. The transcript is spliced from 6 exons. The record is from RefSeq and is a predicted model, not a curated record.
CCAUCCGGUUUGCUCAAUUCAACCUCUGGGUGUUUUACAUAGGGGGAAGUGUCUGAGGGAAAACGUUUAUCAAACAUGAUGCAUUGGCAGGUUAAAUAGAAAAGAUGGAGUGACUAUUCAAAACCAUGGAAGAGAUUAUUUCAAAUGAGGGCACAAACUGACCGCCCGUGCGUCACACCUGGGAGCUGAGCUGAAGCCCAUGAUUUGAUCCGCGAGCCAAUAGACGCCAGAACGAGCAGACCAUGGGCUAAUAGAAUAGUGUCACAUGAAGUUUCGAUUACAAGCCAGACCAAGGGACUCACUAACUGUUCACUACAGGUCUUAAAGGGAUCGAGACACAUGGAAAACAUCAGGUUGGGUCACCACAGCAACCUUGGAUGGAGGCGAAAUAAGAGGACAGGGCGAUCGCUCAUUAUGGCUUUUGCUUGGAUUCUGUGGAAUUCUGUUGAAAACUAUUUUAGAAAUCCAUAGGACUGCUCAACAGAAACUCAUCCCUCAUCUGGAAAGAAUAGGAAUUACACCUCGCAUGCAGUCAUCUAGUUUUAACAGAUUCCAACAUACUGCCACAACUGUGCAGAUUAUUUGGCUAAGAGGACCACUGGAACACAAACAUGUCGUGAUGUGUCAGGAAUUAAUGGACAUUGUUGGCAGAGAUGGCUGUGAUUUUGUGAUUAUUAGAUUACUACCUGGACAGAAUGCAUUCGAAUACUACCUCUACUACAACUGCCUCUACAUAUGAGAUUAGACAAGACGAGACCAGAGCAUGGGCUAUCAAAAGAUGAUGAAGGCCUCUGAAAUUAUGAACUGACAUAGUUUCAUGGGUUUGUGUUGCAAAAGUUCAGGAAUUCAUUUGAAACACUCAAUAUGAAGUGAUCACAUACUCAUGUAUUCCUUUAAUAACAUUUAGGCUUUGUGUGAUUCUGUGACUAAAUCUAUUCUGUAUUCUUGAUUAAGCCUUCUAAUAAGCUUAAUUUGGCUACAUCAGUGUGUCGUUUAUAAGGUAUGUUUCCAAGAUAUUAAUCCUAAUUGGAUCAAUGCAAUUGUUUUAAUUGGCUUGAUAAUGUUUGCAUAUGACGUUGGAGAGCCUUCUUCGGUAUUUGUGUUGUAAUGUUUCUACUACAGGUUUUAUAAUCUGUGACGCCGUUGGCAUUCCAUUGUUGGUUUUUGGCAGUGUGGCAUGGCCGGUUUUGAGUGGUGUUCUCUCGGUCUGCUAUCAAUUUACUGGAACACUUAAAACUCCAAAGAAGGCUACUGACUCAUGUUUGGUCUACUUGGAUAUCUUCCCAUGAUAUGGAACAAUUCUGGAUUACAUACUGUAGAUGUAUUAUUGCAUUGACUUCUUUUCUUUUUACUUUAUAAAUAUGUGACACCUUAUAGUAUACUAUAGACUGUUCUCUAUGCUACAGCAUGGCAAGUGUUUAUUAUCUAUCUAUCUAUCUAUCCUGUUGCUGAGACACUUUAUCCCUACCAAUUUGUACAUACAGUGCAUUCAGAAAGUAUUCAAACCACUUGACCUUUUCAACAUUUUGUUACGUUAUAGCCAGACCAGCUGACCAGACGGGACACGUCGCAUGCGCGAGCGUCGCAAAAUAAAUGUAGAAUUAUUGCACCCACACUGCUCACGCGCGCCAACUAGCGUCUGCGAUGCCAAGGGCUAAAAUAGAAGUAAUUCCUAUUUCUGACGCAGAUCGCGCUGAAAGUCCUGCCUCUCCCAUCUCCUCAUUGGUUUAUAGAAGCAGCUACCCACGUGCCAUCUCCUCAUUGGUUAUACCCACGUGGGUGAUUGAAAGACUAACUGUUUUGCCGGUCAUUGUGGUAAUACUGAGAAAGUUUAGAUGCCAAUCACCAUAUAAGUUCAAAGAUGAAAAAGCCUGGAAGGAGGAGAGAUGACUAGAAACGAUUCAGUCGGCAGUUUUAUGUGUGGAUUAAUUGGCGGAGUAGAGGAGCUUGUGCAUUUCAGGUAAAAUAACAACUCAAUGUUUAUAUCCCAGGACAAAUUAGCUAGCAACAGCAAGCUAGCUAAAUAGGACAAAUUAGCUAGCAAGUGCAAGCUAACUAGCUAAAUUGCCAUACAUGUUUAAUGCUUUUCGACCUGUCCCCAAAUUAAUGUCAUUGGUUCAGAGUUUGUUUUGAUAUUUUAACCUGGUGACAUUUGGCGUUUGGUGUAGGGGGACAAAAUAAAUGUAUGCACGAUGGCGCAUGCGCGCAGCCAGUUUGGGUUCCGUGUUACUCUAAAAUUGAUUAAAUUGUUUUUUCUCAUCAUCAAUAUACACAACAUACCCCGUAAUGACAAAGCAAAAACAGGUUUUUAGAAAUAUCACUUUUACAUACAGUACCAGUCAAAAGUUUGGACACACUUCCUCAUUCAAGUUUUUCUUUAUUUUUUACAUUGUAGAUAAAUAGUGAAGAAAUCAAAACUAUGACAUAACACAUAUGGAAUCAUGUAGUAACCCAAAAAGUGUUAAACAAAUUAGAUUCUUCAAAGUAGCAACCCUUUGCCUUGAUGACAGCUUUGCACACUCUUGGCAUUCUCUCAACCAGCUUCAUGAGGUCAUCACAUGGAAUGCAUUUCAAUUAACAGGUGUGCCUUGUUAGAAAUGUAUUUGUGUAAUUUCUUUCCAUCUUAAUGCGUUUCAGCCAAUCAGUUGUGUUGUGACAAGGUAGGGGUGGCAUACAGAAGAUAGCCCUAUUUGGUAAAAGACCAAGUACAUAUUAUAGUAAGAACAGCUCAAAUAAGCAAAGAGAAAUGACAGUCCAUCAUUACUCUAGGACAUGAAGGUCAGUCAAUCUGGAAAAUCAUGGAGAAAACAAUAAAAUAAAGAAAACCCUGAAAUGAGUAGGUGUGUCCAAACUUUUGAAUGUUACUGUAAAUAUUCAGACCUUUACUCAGUACUAAGUUGAAGCACCUUUGGCAGUGAUUACAGCCUCAAAUCUUCUUGGGUAUGACGCUACAAGCUUGGCACACCUGUAUUUGAUGAGUUUCUCCCAUUCUUCUCUGCAGAUUCUCUCAAGCUCUAUCAGGUUGGAUGGGGAGUGUCGCUGCACAUCUAUUUUCAGGUCUCUCCAGAGAUGUUUGAUCGAGUUCAAGCCCAGGCUGGGGCUGGGCCACUCAAGAAUAUUCAAAGACUUGCCCCGAAGCUACUGUGUGCUUAGGGUCAUUGUCCUGUUGGAAGGUAAACUUUCACCCCAAUCUGAGGUCCUGAGCGAUCUGGAGCAGUUUUUCAUCAAGUUUCUCUCUGUACUUGGCUCCGUUCAUCUGCCACCACCAUGCUUCACCGUAGGGAUGGUGCCAGGUUUCCUCCAGAUGUGACGCUUGGCAUUCAGGCCAAAGAGUUCAACCUUGGUUUCAUUAGACCAGAGAAUCUUGUAGAGUCUGGCCAAUCUACCAUAAUGGCCUGAUUGGUGGAGUGCUGCAGAGAUGGUUGUCCUUCUGGAAGGUUCUCCCAUCUCCACAGAGGAACUCCAUAUAAGAAUGGAGGCCAUUCUGUUCUUGAGGACCUUCAAUGUUGCAGACAUUUUUUGGUACCCUUCCCCAGAUCUGUGCCUCGACACCAUCCUGUCUCGGAGCUCUACAGAGAAUUCCUUCGACCUCAUGGCUUGGUUUUUGCUCUGACAUGCACUGUCAGCUGUGCAACCCUAUAUAGACAGGUGAGUGCCUUUCCAAAUCAUGUCCAAUCAAAAGAUUUUACCACAGGUGGACUCCAAUCAAGUUGUAGAAUCAUCUGAAGGAUGAUCAAGAGAAACAGGAUGCACCUGAGCUCAAUUUCGAGUCUCAUAGCAAAGGGUCUGAAUACUCAUGUAAUGAAGCUUAUUUCCAUUUUCUAUUUUUAAUACAUUUGCAAACAUUUCUACAAACCUGUUUUCGCUCGUCAGUAUGGGGCAAUGUGUGAUUGAUGAGGAAAAAAUACAUAUUUGAUCAAUUUAAGAAUAAGGCUGUAACGUAACAAAAUGUGUAAAAGGGAAGGGGUCUGAUAACUUUCCGAAUGCACUGUAUCUAAGUAAUUUACCUCGUACCCCUGCACAUCGACUCUGUACUUGUAAGUACCCCGUGUAUAUAGCCAAGUUAUCAUUACUCAUUAUGUACUUUUUUCCCUCUGCAUUGUGGGUAAGUUUCUCUACACCUUUUCUACAUCUUUUCAUUAUGAAGCAUUUGACAAUAAAAUGUGAUUUGUAGUAUUGAACAUUUUGAUAAGGACAAAUAUUAUUGACCCCAGAGUUGUAUAGUAACAACAUUUUAUUUUUAAUUCAUUGCACUUCUCCUCUGAUGUUUUCAUGUCAAGUAUUUCUAGUAUAAUUUUACACAGCACAGGCUUGAAGGGACAGAAGCUUUGAAGUCAUGCCCACCUAUUUUAUAACCUGCAACAACCAUGGGUUGUGCUUUUUGAGAGCAACUCAGAGCGUGGAGAAUCCCCAUUGAGCUGUACCCCUCAGAUAUAUAAGUUCAGAAUAUGUGUAUAUGUAGUGUUGCUUUUUCACCUCUGUUAGGGUUAGUGUGUGCUGUCCUUGUUCAUACAAGAAUGCUGUGGCCGGGCCAGCCCAGAAAAGUGUGCUCUGGGACAUUCAAGGCCUGCUAUCGAGAGGCAGUGUGAUAUCAUUUUCCGGCAAACCAGAAAUCAAGGCCUUGGACAGACCUUUUCUAUGUCAGGGAUAGGGGUAGUGUAUGUUUUCUGACAGUUGCUCCUUUCAAGAUUAAUGGGUUUAUGAGAACCGUGUGUCUUCCUCCAAAAGCCAAGCUCAAAAUCUGUCAGUGUUACCAGCAGCAUAAUAGUGAAGUCCUGACAUUGGAAUCCAAAAGACAGAGUGAGUUUUGAUGUCACAACAGAACAGAACAUUGUCUCUAUACUGUGUGUGUGCUCAUGUGUGUAUGUGUUUUAAAGACUUAUGUUUGGUAUAGCCAUCUUGAUUUUGUUAUAUUAGGGACGGAAAAAGCGAACCACUUUUGUUCCAUGUGUUGACCUUCGUCUGUAACAACUUUAACAAUAGGAUUGAUAUCUGUAGGGAUGGUAAAAAUAUAGAUUUUUAGCAAUGUAGGUUCAGCAUCUUUGAGUUGUUAUAUCAUGCACUCCAAAAUGAAAACAGUUGCAUAAAACUUCAGGUUUGGUUUAAGUUUCUGUAGGUGACUUUAUCAUUCUUGUUUACUCUGGAGAUGAAGAGUAAUUACAGUAAAUUACAUCCGACCAAAUAAUUGAUGUAUGAUUCAUUUUUUAAUAUUGUUAUCAUGUACUUAUACCACUGAAUGCAACAGCAUUUCACUUAUCUGUAAUUGGUUUCACAUCAUUGGAUUUUUAUUUCUUUUAAAGUAGAAAGCAGAAAAACACAAGCCCUUUUGAUCUGGUGAUCAUGGACACAAGAGUGGUCUGAACCCCGGAGAGUCACCGUUAAAUUGGUGGCUCAAGAUGAGGACUAAUCGUCUCCCGUACAGGCUUUAGGGCUGGAUUCAAUCCGUAUCGCCCAAUAUCACGGAAGAUACACAUUAUAGCUCGAUUGAAAUUUAAAGUCAAUGUUCCCACGUUUGUGGAGACUGUGUUCACAUGAAAUGCUGCAUAUUUCGGCUCAAUCGUAAAUUACCUUUACAUUUUCACACAGAUCGUUCACGAUACUUCAGCGAUACAGAUUGAAUCCAGCACUUAGUUGCUGUGGGUGGAUGUGAAAUCUAGGGUGAUCAGGAGGCAAGGCACUGGCAUCCAGGCAGCCUUGUUGUAUCUGUGUGGACCUCAGUGAACCACUGCCAGACACCCAUAAAUACGUUCCCUUAUUUCUAACAUGGCGUGGAUGCCAGUUGGGGCUAGAAGUGGGUUUGUUUUGGGUGUUCUCAAUGUAUUCCCGCCAGCGCCUCACUUCCACGUUUCUCAUAAGAGAGCCACUGACUUCCUGAAAUGCAUAUGUAUUCAUACUGGUAGUCGUCUGUCAUUUCAGUGAUUUGUUGAAAGCUGCAUAAGUUAAGUCCAGUGUCUGUACAAAGGAGACCUGUUUGUCCAGACACACAUGGAUUAAUCAACUAGACAUCCCACAUUCACAAAGUGUAGUGUCACAUAAAUGCAGAAUCAACAUGAAUUUGAACCUCAACUAUAUGUUUAGUAAUCCUAGCCCUGGGUAUUCAAAUCAGUAUUGAAUGUGGAACCAGCUGAAUCUUACUUACAGUCAGUUUAGAGUAUUUAGAAUUGACUACUCAUUAAAAAAGUUAUUUGCAUUCUAGAAAAUAACUCUUGAAUAACACUUACUUUAACACUUAAACUUAAGUAACACUUGAACAAUUGCAGAAUCCAAAUUAGAUUUAAUUUCAUAGUAUUUGAAAUACAGUGCACACAUGAUUUAAUAAGUCUUCUUUUAAACCUUCCAAAAUGGGGGACCGUAGCUCACUCAUACAAGUGGCGAAAUGCCUGACAUGUUUGCAUAGAAUAGGGACAGGCAGGACUGCAUCCAAGCCUGGACUUGCUGGCCAAGACAAAACACAAACAUACACACACACACCCAAACACACAAGUAGAUGGAGGGUGCAUACUGCAGAAAUCACAUUUACAUCAUUUACAUUUAAGUCACUACUUUAGAAUUACAGAUAGAGGAUCUUAUUUUGACACAUCAAAUAUAUAUAUAUAUAUAUAUAUAUAUUAUCACAUCAAAAUAAUCCUGCAGCAACAGGAUAUGAACGUUUAGUCCAUAAUGUUGCUUGAUUGGUGGUUAGGAUGUAAACUGGUCAAAUUUAGGCUCCAUGGAAUGUGCAAUACCAAUAUAAACAUGUGUUAGUGCAGGUGUCACGUCCUGACCUUAGUUCCUUUUUUAUGUCUCUAUUUUAGUUUGGUCAGGGCAUGAGUUGGGGUGGGCAUUCUAUGUUUUGUGUUCUAUGUUUUCUAUCUCUAUGUGUUUGGCCUGGUAUGGUUCCCAAUCAGAGGCAGCUGGCAAUCGUUGUCUCUGAUUGAGAACCAUACUUAGGUAGCCUGUUUUCCCAUUUUUGAGUUGUGGUUGAUUGUUUUCUGUUUUGUAUGAGUAUUUUAAUAUCCAUGCCUGUUCCAAUGUUAGACGUCCAUUUCCCAGCAUAUUUUCAGACAAAAAUAAUACUUAUUAGCGACGUUACAAGUGUGACCUCUGAUCAUAAACGUAUCUGGAAUAAAGAUAAAUAAACUAACUUUACAGAGAGAGAGGGUGUGUGAGGCUGUUGCGUUUUGUUCUACUUUUGUUUCAGUGUUCCGGUUAUAAUAAACAACAUGGACACUUACCACGCUGCGCAUUGGUCCGAUAUUUCCUACUCCUCUUCAUAAGAGGAGGAGAAUCGUUACAGCAGGUUUUCAGUGAAUAUUUGUAAAUCCCAAAGCUCAUCUGCAUUCCCUGCAGCUCAGGGACAUUCAGUGACAACAGAGUGAUCAAAUUAAGAUAAUCUGUAUGUGCUAUAAUUGAGUUGGGCCCUGGAUUGAGUUAGCCCCGGCACAGUGCAAUGUGAUUAAAAAUCCCCUUCUAAACAUACAGCCACACACCGCCACUUUACCCCAUCAGCAGUGAGAGGCUGUUCAGUUUACCUCAUUGUGAAAUGUCCAAAAGCAGAGCAUAUACAGUAUGUCCUAAUAGAUGGACAGGGCAAUAAGAGAAUACCGGUGGGACAUUUUUGAAUGUUUGAAAUGAGAAACAAACAAACUGCCAUGAUGCCUCUGUUGGCUGUAUCAGGGAAUGCUACGGGAUAGAACAGAUAUGACAGGAGAGGAGGUGAGCUGUAGCUGAAAGCACAUGACAACCUGUAUAACAAGAAGUUCUCUAGGUUUGCACACCUUCCCCCAAACACAUCCUAACCUUCAACUGCUGUACCAGGAGCCUGUUGUGCUUGUUGUUCCUGAAAAGUCUUUAUAUGCCUGGACACUGGACAAGGCUGAGAGCUCUGUGUGAUUCAGUUACAAAACCUAUAGGGGGUGUAGUCGCAGAUUAGCUGCGCUCUGUAUUCCCAUUUACUGACCGUGGGGUGCAGCGGACAAGAUGCAUUCUUUGACAAAAUAGUCUACAUUAAAGAGAAUCAUUUGAAUCUGUUUCAUUUUGUGCUGUGUAAUGAAAUGGGUAAUGAUCAGAAUAUGCAGCACCUCAGAAAGUAUUCAUACCCCUUGACUUAUUACACAAUUUGUUGUGUUACAGCCUGAAUUCAAAAUGGAUUAAAUAAAAACUAUUCUCACCCAUCCACACACAAUACCCCAUAUUGACAAAGUGAAAACAUGUUUUUAGACAUUUUAGCAAAUGUAUUGAAAAUGAAACACCGAAAUAUCUCAUUUACAUAAACAUUCACAUCCCUGAGUCAACACAUGUUAAAAUCACCUUUGCCAGCGAUUACAGCUGUGAGUCUUUCUGGGUGAGUCUCUAAGAGAUUUGCACACCUGGAUUGUACAAUAUUUGCACAUUAUUCUUUUAACAAUUCUUCAAGCUCUGUCAAGUUGGUUGUUGAUCAUUGCUAGACAGCCAUUUUCAUGUCUUGCCAUAGAUUUUCAAGCUGAUUUAAGUCAAAACUGUAACUAGGCCACUCAGGAACAUUCAAUGUAAUCUUGGUAAGCAACUCCCGUGUAUAUUUGUCUUGUG